GAUGAACGCUGGCGGCGUGCCUAAUACAUGCCAGUCGAGCGAACAGACGAGGAGCUUGCUCCUCUGACGUUAGCGGCGGACGGGUGAGUAACACGUGGAUAACCUACCUAUAAGACUGGGAUAACUUCGGGAAACCGGAGCUAAUACCGGAUAAUAUAUUGAACCGCAUGGUUCAAUAGUGAAAGACGGUUUUGCUUUCACUUAUAGAUGGAUCCGCGCCGCAUUAGCUACUUGGUAAGGUAACGGCUUACCAAGGCAACGAUGCGUAGCCGACCUGAGAGGGUGAUCGGCCACACUGGAACUGAGACACGGUCCAGACUCCUACGGGAGGCAGCAGUAGGGAAUCUUCCGCAAUGGGCGAAAGCCUGACGGAGCAACGCCGCGUGAGUGAUGAAGGUCUUCGGAUCGUAAAACUCUGUUAUUAGGGAAGAACAAAUGUGUAAGUAACUAUGCACGUCUUGACGGUACCUAAUCAGAAAGCCACGGCUAACUACGUG
RNAcentral lists this ribosomal RNA (497 nucleotides) under uncultured bacterium. RNAcentral describes it as "partial 16S ribosomal RNA". It matches the Rfam family "Bacterial small subunit ribosomal RNA", at positions 28 to 507 of the family's 1533-position model. The record is from RNAcentral.